AGAGUUUGAUUCUGGCUCAGGACGAACGCUGGCGGCGUGCCUAACACAUGCAAGUCGAACGUGAUCUUCGGAGUAGUUUACUACACUGGAGUGAAAGUGGCGGACGGGUGAGUAACGCGUGGGUAACCUGGCCUAUGGAAGGGGAUAGCCUCGGGAAACCGGGAUUAAUACCGUAUGUAGUUGAGAUAUCGCAUGAUAUUUCAAUGAAAGAUUUAUCGCCAUAGGAUGGACCCGCGUCCCAUUAGCUAGUUGGUGAGAUAACAGCUCACCAAGGCGACGAUGGGUAGCCGGCCUGAGAGGGCGGACGGCCACACUGGGACUGAGACACGGCCCAGACUCCUACGGGAGGCAGCAGUGGGGAAUAUUGCGCAAUGGGGGCAACCCUGACGCAGCAACGCCGCGUGAAUGAAGAAGGUCUUCGGAUCGUAAAGUUCUGUCGAAGGGGAAGAAAUAAAUGACGGUACCCUUAGAGGAAGCCCCGGCUAACUACGUGCCAGCAGCCGCGGUAAUACGUAGGGGGCAAGCGUUGUCCGGAUUUACUGGGCGUAAAGGGCGUGUAGGCGGUUUUUUAAGUCAGAUGUGAAAGUUCGGGGCUCAACCCCGGAAUUGCAUUUGAAACUGGAGAACUUGAGUACUGGAGAGGUAAGUGGAAUUCCUAGUGUAGCGGUGAAAUGCGUAGAUAUUAGGAGGAACACCAGUGGCGAAGGCGACUUACUGGACAGAUACUGACGCUGAGGCGCGAAAGCGUGGGGAGCGAACAGGAUUAGAUACCCUGGUAGUC
This 781-nucleotide ribosomal RNA is filed under the name Alkalibacter sp. enrichment culture. RNAcentral describes it as "bacterial SSU rRNA". It matches the Rfam family "Bacterial small subunit ribosomal RNA", at positions 8 to 795 of the family's 1533-position model. Lineage: Bacteria; Bacillati; Bacillota; Clostridia; Eubacteriales; Eubacteriaceae. The record is from RNAcentral.